This 190-nucleotide unclassified non-coding RNA is filed under the name uncultured fungus. RNAcentral's name for it is "sequence contains ITS1". The record is from RNAcentral. Lineage: Eukaryota; Fungi.
UUAACUAUUAUAUAGUACUCAGACGACACUAAUAUUCAGAGUUUGGGGUCCUCUGGCGGGCACUCACCAGCCGAAGCCGGUAGCCGAAGCGGCCCGCCAAAGCAACAAAGGUAUAAUAUUCAAGGGUGGGAGAUCUACCCGUGAGGGCAUGAACUCUGUAAUGAUCCUUCCGCAGGUUCACCUACGGAAA